This 497-nucleotide ribosomal RNA is filed under the name uncultured bacterium. RNAcentral's name for it is "partial 16S ribosomal RNA". It matches the Rfam family "Bacterial small subunit ribosomal RNA", at positions 28 to 507 of the family's 1533-position model. The record is from RNAcentral.
GAUGAACGCUGGCGGCGUGCCUAAUACAUGCAAGUCGAGCGAACAGAUAAGGAGCUUGCUCCUUUGACGUUAGCGGCGGACGGGUGAGUAACACGUGGGUAACCUACCUAUAAGACUGGGAUAACUUCGGGAAACCGGAGCUAAUACCGGAUAAUAUUUCGAACCGCAUGGUUCGAUAGUGAAAGAUGGUUUUGCUAUCACUUAUAGAUGGACCCGCGCCGUAUUAGCUAGUUGGUAAGGUAACGGCUUACCAAGGCGACGAUACGUAGCCGACCUGAGAGGGUGAUCGGCCACACUGGAACUGAGACACGGUCCAGACUCCCACGGGAGGCAGCAGUAGGGAAUCUUCCGCAAUGGGCGAAAGCCUGACGGAGCAACGCCGCGUGAGUGAUGAAGGUCUUCGGAUCGUAAAACUCUGUUAUUAGGGAAGAACAUACGUGUAAGUAACUGUGCACGUCUUGACGGUACCUAAUCAGAAAGCCACGGCUAACUACGUG